UAGGACUCCACUGUUGGGCCUUAUUGACCUCGCAAUAGGCCAGAUUUCUAGUGACUUACAUUGGUGCUGAAACUUGAAGCAGCUGCAGCACAAUGAAUUGGAAAUGGACAGCUCAUGGUGCUGAAAGAAGGCAAAUUCGAGUAUGCAUAAUUAAUGUUAACGUCAUCAUUUUAAUUAUGCUUUACUAACAACAAGAAGGCUUUGUGUUGGAGCCUAUUUCUCCCUAUGUAAUAAAUAAGAAGUAGGCCUACCUGUUUGACAGGCGAAAUUAGGCUAUGGGCUGCUAUAUCCAUAGAUUUGUAGGUCAGUUCCUCCACCCACCAUACACUUUAAAUAGUCUACCUCCAUGUCAGUGAAGGGCUGUUAAGUUAAAACUACGACUCGAGUUAAGGGAAUGCAAUAGGCCUACUUGUUAUUAAAGAACAAAAGAACAGGCAUACACCUUGGUAGCUUAAGAUUUUUAGGAAAAUCCGAUUUUAUAAAGUGAACAGCGUUUGGUCUGCGAUGCUUUAUGCUAGAAUCAAGCCAACAUACCCAGGGUAAACAUGACGCGGAUGCGUAUGGGGAUAGCAUCGUUUUGUUUCUUUGACAUUCAAAGGCUGCGCUAAAACCUUCUAUAGCCUAGGAGACAAACAAUUGACUUUGCUUGGGAAGUAAUCUAAUUCUGUCAUUAUCAAUUGAUUAAGCUAUUCACUUUCUGUACAGUAGAAGAUGUUUAAACCCAGACAGCUUUUAGGGAAACACGUGUGACCUUCUGUCGUUGGGUUAGUUAAACCACGGAAGAAAAGUAGCUUACAUUUUUCUGCGUCAUACUCUGUCUGGGGUGGAAUGGUUGGUUUAACUUUUGAAAGUACCACGCUCAGAUUCCUAAUGACAUAUCAUAUUUAAUUAUUUGCAAACAAGAACAGUUUCGUUGCAAUCAACAAGACACACUGAUUUGGCAUUGGAGACAUAUGAUACGAUUAACAAAUAUAGGUUUAUAUUUCUGUACAUUCUUAGCCUGUAAUUUCGGUAAUUUGUGUUGUAUUAAAAAAUAUUCUGCUAAUAUGUACAAUUAUGUAAAAAUGUUUAUAAAAGGCAACGUUUUCUCGGACCUACAAAUGCGAUCACUGAUAUAAUGCUUUCACUAUAAAGGAGAUCUUACCACCCCUACUGUUGUUCACCGUGGUCUGCGAACCCACAACCUUCUGGCCCGGAGCCCUGUGCGCUAUCAACAUUAAUGUGUUACCAUGUAAAUCUUACAGGACGAAGAACAGUUUCUAAAACUGCAUAUCUAAGGCUCUGGUCUGUCCAAGAAGUGAGGGUAAAUGAUCAGUCUUGUCAUGAUCUCUCUUGUCUGACUUUUCUAAAACAAAAAUAAAAACCUAAAGCAAACAGCACCACCCUGUGGUUGUGUGGCAAAUGGCAAUGAUUGAAUCUGAAUGUAGAUAGACCAUUAUUUGGCUGAGGUACUGCGUGCAUGUUCUCUUUUUCUAGGAUCCUUGAGGAAAACAUCUUAUUGAACUUUAAAACAAUGAAGGUGGAUAAUUCCACUGUGGACAGCAGUCAGCAGGCUCAACUACAUCGCAAACCACUGUCGUUUCUACUGGGAAUCCCACAAGGGCGGCGCAUGUGACAAAUACAAUUUGAUUUGAAAGUUAUCGCACCUCAUUCAGUUUUCACUUCUGACACAAAUUAACUAGGCUGAUGUAUAGAAGGUUACUGGCCGUCUGAAAUGUUUUAUUUGUUUGACUAGAGAAUUUUUCUGAGUGAGUCCUCAGUCCGUGGAUAGGUUACCUGUCCUCCUUCCCCUGAUGGCCCCAGAUGAGUGAUAGUGCUAGAUAGAUCUCCACCAUACCGCUUUGACCUACUGAGUACUUUAAAAUCAGAGAUGAUGCAAAUGAAAGUUGGAGAGGUGGCUGUUCCAGGAUUGCUGGUACAUGUCUUCCUUUGAAGUAGGUAGAAGUUGCCCAUAAUAACUGAUACUGGAUCAGAUAUCUUUGCAACAGCCUAUUGAUUAUGUUCAGGACUAGUUGGAGGCUGAUCUGAUCCUAGAUCUGUAGUUUGGGCCUGACUUCAUCAUACUUCCCUGUACCACCCAGGAGGGCACUAUAGACGAAGGCGAACUAUAGACGAACAGCGGACAGCUUCUGGCUGCAGAAACACUGGCUGUUGAUGUACUUCUUCAUCAUGACCCCGUGGAACUACACCACAGUCUCCACGCGCAGGGUCAGGCGCAGACCGGCUACCUAAUUACAACACCCCCCAAGACCACACUUCAGGACACCCCCAGAUGUGGGUGUGUUCAGCCUCCACUACUCCCCAGUCUGGAGCCUGAGCCAAGGGAACACCUUCUGCAUGCUGAAGGUUCCCCCUGGGACACUGGUUUACAGGACGGUCCAUGACCAGUUCUGCAGAACAAUGCCAGAGAGCCAUGCCCAGAUCAUCAGCCUGCAGCAGAAGCAACACAUGCAGGUGGAUCCUGGCACAGUCCUGCAGAGACACCUGUUCCAUGGAACCUCAGAGAGUGCUGUCAAGGCUUUCUCCGGACAGAACUUCAAACCGCGUGUGGCUUGACCCACUAGCCGUCACAGCCAUAGCAUUUACUUUGCCGUUUUGCCCAGCAAGCUCACCGCUACUCCGUCAGAGGGCCGAGACACUGGGUUCAUGUGGGUAAAACCUGAUUAGGAACGAUAGACUACGUCCGUCCCCCCUCGACUCCCCAACCAAACAAGCUCUGGACGGGAUCACUAUGACUCCUGUGUGAAUCGGAUGGAGAAUCCUACUGUUUUUGUUGUGUUUGACAGCAGUCAGUGCUACCCCUACUACCCCAUCAAGUACAAGGUCCUGGAAAACAAUGGCAGUACUGUGUGAUGGGCCCAGAAGCAGAACCAGGACUGUUCAGAAAAUAAUGAAUCAAUGCCUUCAGUAAGAGCAAAGUUCCUUGUCUCGGUAAAAGGCACUCUGUUGGUGAGGAAUAAAGAGAAAAAGCUAUAUAAUAAUUAAGCUGUUCAUGAGACUUGUUUACAAAGACCUGUUGAGAGGCUAACACCUGAGUUCCUUCAAUCGACUCUGUUAAGUUGUGUCUGUGUUCAAUGAGGAGUAAUACACUUCUGAGCCUUUCAGUUGUAUUUGUGCUCUUUUUCAGCAUAAACACUAUGGCUCUUCUGCACAGCAUACUAAUUAUGUAGGGUGUUAUGAUCUGAGAUUGUAUUUAAUUACUCUGGAAAUAUUGCUAAUACAUACCAUGGCCAGUAGAAAUGUAUAGGUUAUACAUGUAAUUGAAUAUGAAUUUAAGUUGUCGUAGGAAGAUGGAUAGAAAGAUUGUGGUCAAUUCAAUGUAGUCAACUUACCGUUUUGGAGAGUGAAUCAUUUAUUGCACUCAUCUGCCUCCGCAC
Salvelinus fontinalis (brook trout) is the source of this 3377-nucleotide long non-coding RNA. RefSeq lists it as uncharacterized. Lineage: Eukaryota; Metazoa; Chordata; Actinopteri; Salmoniformes; Salmonidae. The transcript has 3 exons. The record is from RefSeq and is a predicted model, not a curated record.